CCUACGGGAGGCAGCAGUAGGGAAUCUUCCACAAUGGGCGAAAGCCUGAUGGAGCAACGCCGCGUGGGUGAAGAAGGUCUUCGGAUCGUAAAACCCUUUUGUUAGAGAAGAAAGUGCGUGAGAGUAACUGUUCACGUUUCGACGGUAUCUAAACAGAAAGCCACGGCUAACUACGUGCCAGCAGCCGCGGUAAUCCGUAGGUGGCAAGCGUUAUCCGGAUUUAUUGGGCGUAAAGGGAACGCAGGCGGUCUUUUAAGUCUGAUGUGAAAGCCUUCGGCUUAACCGGAGUAGUGCAUUGGAGACUGGGAGACUUGAGUGCAGUAGAGGGGAGUGGAACUCCAGGUGUAGCGGUGAAAUGCGUAGAUAUAUGGAAGAACACCAGUGGCGAAAGCGGCUCACUGGUCUGUAACUGACGCUGAGGUUCGAAAGCGUGGGGAGCAAACAGGAUUAGAUACCCCAGUAGUC
This 465-nucleotide ribosomal RNA is filed under the name uncultured bacterium. Its description in RNAcentral is "partial 16S ribosomal RNA". It matches the Rfam family "Bacterial small subunit ribosomal RNA", at positions 338 to 795 of the family's 1533-position model. The record is from RNAcentral.